AACGAACGCUGGCGGCGUGGAUAAGACAUGCAAGUCGAACGGGAGAAUUGCUAGCUUGCUAAUAAUUCUCUAGUGGCGCACGGGUGAGUAACACGUGAGUAACCUGCCCCCGAGAGCGGGAUAGCCCUGGGAAACUGGGAUUAAUACCGCAUAGUAUCGAAAGAUUAAAGCAGCAAUGCGCUUGGGGAUGGGCUCGCGGCCUAUUAGUUAGUUGGUGAGGUAACGGCUCACCAAGGCGAUGACGGGUAGCCGGUCUGAGAGGAUGUCCGGCCACACUGGAACUGAGACACGGUCCAGACACCUACGGGUGGCAGCAGUCGAGAAUCAUUCACAAUGGGGGAAACCCUGAUGGUGCGACGCCGCGUGGGGGAAUGAAGGUCUUCGGAUUGUAAACCCCUGUCAUGGGGGAGCAAAUUAAAAAGAUAGUACCACAAGAGGAAGAGACGGCUAACUUUGUGCCAGCAGCCGCGGUAAUACAGAGGUCUCAAGCGUUGUUCGGAAUCACUGGGCGUAAAGCGUGCGUAGGCUGUUUCGUAAGUCGUGUGUGAAAGGCGCGGGCUCAACCCGCGGACGGCACAUGAUACUGCGAGACUAGAGUAAUGGAGGGGGAACCGGAAUUCUCGGUGUAGCAGUGAAAUGCGUAGAUAUCGAGAGGAACACUCGUGGCGAAGGCGGGUUCCUGGACAUUAACUGACGCUGAGGCACGAAGGCCAGGGGAGCGAAAGGGAUUAGAUACCCCUGUAGUCCUGGCAGUAAACGGUGCACGCUUGGUGUGCGGGGAAUCGACCCCCUGCGUGCCGGAGCUAACGCGUUAAGCGUGCCGCCUGGGGAGUACGGUCGCAAGAUUAAAACUCAAAGAAAUUGACGGGGACCCGCACAAGCGGUGGAGUAUGUGGCUUAAUUCGAUGCAACGCGAAGAACCUUACCUGGGCUUGACAUGUAAUGAACAACAUGUGAAAGCAUGCGACUCUUCGGAGGCGUUACACAGGUGCUGCAUGGCCGUCGUCAGCUCGUGUCGUGAGAUGUUUGGUUAAGUCCAGCAACGAGCGCAACCCCUGUUGCCAGUUACCAGCACGUGAAGGUGGGGACUCUGGCGAGACUGCCCAGAUCAACUGGGAGGAAGGUGGGGACGACGUCAGGUCAGUAUGGCCCUUAUGCCCAGGGCUGCACACGUACUACAGUGCCCAGUACAGAGGGGGCCGAAGCCGCGAGGCGGAGGAAAUCCUAAAAACUGGGCCCAGUUCGGACUGUAGGCUGCAACCCGCCUACACGAAGCCGGAAUCGCUAGUAAUGGCGCAUCAGCUACGGCGCCGUGAAUACGUUCCCGGGUCUUGCACA
This 1338-nucleotide ribosomal RNA is filed under the name uncultured bacterium. Its description in RNAcentral is "bacterial SSU rRNA". It matches the Rfam family "Bacterial small subunit ribosomal RNA", at positions 28 to 1387 of the family's 1533-position model. The record is from RNAcentral.